RNAcentral lists this ribosomal RNA (477 nucleotides) under uncultured bacterium. RNAcentral describes it as "partial 16S ribosomal RNA". It matches the Rfam family "Bacterial small subunit ribosomal RNA", at positions 28 to 506 of the family's 1533-position model. The record is from RNAcentral.
GACGAACGCUGGCGGCGUGCUUAACACAUGCAAGUCGAACGGGAUUUAGUAGACAGAAGCCUCGGCUAAAGAUUACUAAUGAGAGUGGCGAACGGGUGAGUAACGCGUGAGCAACCUGCCUAUGACAGUGGGAUAGCCUCGGGAAACCGGGAUUAAUACCGCAUAAAAUCGUAGAAACACAUGUUUUAACGGUCAAAGAUUUAUCGGUCAUAGAUGGGCUCGCGUCUGAUUAGCUAGUUGGUGAGAUAACAGCCCACCAAGGCGACGAUCAGUAGCCGGUCUGAGAGGAUGAACGGCCACAUUGGAACUGAGACACGGUCCAAACUCCUACGGGAGGCAGCAGUGGGGAAUAUUGCACAAUGGGGGAAACCCUGAUGCAGCGACGCCGCGUGAACGAAGAAGGUAUUCGUAUCGUAAAGUUCUGUCCUAUGGGAAGAUAAUGACAGUACCAUAGAAGAAAGCUCCGGCUAAAUACGU